RNAcentral lists this ribosomal RNA (326 nucleotides) under uncultured eukaryote. Its description in RNAcentral is "partial 18S ribosomal RNA". It matches the Rfam family "Eukaryotic small subunit ribosomal RNA", at positions 1470 to 1796 of the family's 1831-position model. The record is from RNAcentral.
CCCUUAGAUGUUCUGGGCCGCACGCGCGCUACACUGAUGCAUUCAUCAAGCCUAGCCUUGACCGAGAGGUCCGGGUAAUCUUUGAAACUGCAUCGUGAUGGGGCUAGAUUAUUGCAAUUAUUAAUCUUCAACGAGGAAUGCCUAGUAAGCGUGAUUCAUCAAAUCGCGUUGAUUACGUCCCUGCCCUUUGUACACACCGCCCGUCGCUCCUACCGAUUGAAUGUGUUGGUGAGGAGCUCGGAUUGGCAGCAGUUGGUGGUUCGCCACCGGCUAUUGCUGAGAAGUCCUCCAAACCGCCCCAUUUAGAGGAAGGAGAAGUCGUAACA